Long non-coding RNA from Centruroides sculpturatus (bark scorpion), 352 nucleotides. RefSeq lists it as uncharacterized. The record is from RefSeq and is a predicted model, not a curated record. The transcript is spliced from 3 exons. Lineage: Eukaryota; Metazoa; Arthropoda; Arachnida; Scorpiones; Buthidae.
CGAAUUAAAUUUGGUUAAUAAUGCCGCUAGGGGAAGUUCUGUUUUUGUUAUUUACGCGUUACCAUAGCAACAUUUGAAAAUUUGAAUUUGAAAUAGAUUUUUUCAUCAAAAUCGGAAAAUGAGCUGCUUAAAAAGACAUUCUCCUCAGAGGUUUAAAGGAACUCACUGUGAUGUCAUUAAUUUGUUCGAAAAUGGAGUUUUUAGGAAAUUAAUUAUUCCUCGACCUGAACCAACUAUUAAAACUACUAUACUGACUGCUAGUGAAUUAAAAAACAUACAGCAAAAUGCUUUUUAUAUAUCUCCAGAGCUGAGAAAAAUCAAAGAAGAUGAAAGGAAAAAAUUCAGAGAUGCA